CAGCCCUGUGGUCUCUGUAGCCUCCACCGCCGCCACCCCCACCCCAUGCCCACCGGGGCCUUGCCUGGAGCCACCACUCAGCCCAGAGCCGAGGUCAAGCCAAUGGAUCUGUGCAGAAACGCUCUUUAAAAUGCAUUACGUGCAGGACUUCAAAGAGACACCCGCUGCUUGGUGUAUUUCAAAAAGGUGCAAGUGGGUGAUGAACGACCUCGGCUUGUUACCAGGCUGAGGAAUAAGGGCUCUGUCUGUCUGCCAGGAAGUAAAGUGUGGGCAUAUGUCACCUUCGGGAUGCGCUGGCGGGAGGCUCCUGAGCCCGUUGGACAGGAAGGCGCAGCCCCCAGUUCAUCAGUGGUUCUGAUGUGAGGGGCGGCCCAGUGGGAGGGAGAGGGGCCCCAUGUCCAUCAGGGGAGGUGGGGCUCAGCUUCCUGGCCCCUGUGCAGAGAGGAAGCUUCUGCGAAGCUGCCUCAAGUCAUGGACAAACAGGUGUGACUGUUCCUUGUUUUUUUCUUUUUAACUAAUCCAGCAGAUUCUAUCUUUGAACUUUUCCUUCCCGGGUGGUACUCCGAGACAGGUCUAAGGCAGUUUCAUCCUAGCUUGGCUUGGUGGGAAAAAACUGGUUGAGUUUGUCUAUAGUAUAUUAAUUACAUCCUCUGUUCUCUCUCCUCCUAGAGCUAUCAGCAGAAUUAAAACUGGGAUGCACUCUUAGCAACCCGGUAUUAAAUCCACCCCAUGUCCGGAGCCCCAGGUCAGCCACUGCAGGAAGAGGAAAGAGUCCAAGAGGCCGUCCUGGUGCUCCUCCUGGACUUGCGAACAGAUGCAGGGGGACUCCAAGGCCAUUACGGAGCUAUGUGUCACUGAGUCCAAAGGGACAGUCUCUACACGGAGCAGAGGAACUCAGGAAGGUGCUGGGUGGAGGGGCGGCAGGCAGCGGGGCGCAGCCGGGGACCCCUGGGAGAGCCACAUCUGCAGCGUGCCCUCUCUUGGGGCAGCAGAGACGGCUGCGUGUGCAUUUCCUUCCUCCCAUACUGCAAAUCCAUCCCCUGCUUACCUCGGGUGCUGGCACGGGGCUGUGCAGAGAAACACGCAGGAGAGAAGAUGGGCUGGUCGCCUAGGAGAGGGCAUGACUGCCCUGGGGAGAGUGGCUGGGCAAUUACUCACACAGACGAUUUCUUCCAAGACCCACAGCUUCUCAGCAGGGCCCUGGGAAGGCCACUAUGUGCCCUAGGGUAAGUCAUUUGCUUCUGAGAGCUGCAUCUCCAUCUGCAGAUGAGAAGUGCCUGCUGCCCAGGCCCUGGUGCAUCUGCCACGCCUGCACUUCCAUACUCCGACCCAACAGAGCGAUUGAUGAUCAAGGGCGUCGGACCUCGCCCUGUGCAGAGGGGCUGGCCCCUGGCUCAGCUUCCCUGGACAAGCCCCAUCCACCAAGCUUCCCACCUCCCUCCUGCUAAGGGGACAACAGAACAUGCUGUCUUCCCAUGUCAACUGCUCGGGCUGGAACCCUGCUUCUCCCCCCUGAGGAGAGCAUGACCUGCGUGAGGGGCACUCCCCUCUGCCUCGGUUGCCUGGUCUAUAGAAUGAGGACUGAGACAGUGUAAAGUCCUUCAAAUAGCCCUGACACAGGAAGCCCUCAAUAAGGUCACUUCUUUCGGGGCGAAUAUUAUCAGGAUGCUGUUUUGAAAAGGAAGCGCACGGUCGCUGUGGCACACCUCCGAGAGUGUCUGACUUGGCCCUGAUCGCUGCCUGAGGCCCGCUGCACAAGGUGCAGCUUCAGGUCUUCACUUGUGCCUGGUGACCUCGUGGGAGGUGCCUCCAUCUCUUCCCAUUUUGGGAGGAAAACACGGCGUGCAAAUCCCCAGCCAUCCACAGAAUCCCACCUACGGGAUGACUCGGUUCCUAGAAAAGAGACCAGGAAGAGAGGCCACAGGCAGGCUCUUCCAAACUGAGGCUUGGCCCCAGAAAACCCUGCCUCUGAUGUCUCUGGACCAUUGGAUGGGAACCCCCUCCUCAAAUCCUGGCUCUGCUCAACACUCGGGAUGCGGUUGGUCUGUUUGUCAGACCCCACACAUUACGUCAACAGGUAAGAGAUGAAAACAUGUCGCAGCUGCGUCUGUCCAUCGGCCAUAGCAGGUUUUCAAAAUCGGCUGCGUUUUCCUCUCAUGGCAUAUGGAAAUUGGAUGCUAAAUUUUUGUUGGAAGUACUUGGGUCUAUAUUUAGACUUCAUGAAAUUGAAGUGGAAACCAGAUCCACGCAUCCCAGUUGUUCCAAACAAACUUUAAAGUUUUCCAAUAACUGAGUCAAGUGUUAGUUUUGAAUUUUCAUUUUAAUUAAGUAAAAUGAAACAUCUGCUCCUCAGUCACGUGAGCCACGUUUCAAGUGCUCAAAAGCCGCAUGUAGCUGGUGGCGGCCGCUGCACAGGCUGGUGCCCAGAGAGAGCAAGUCUUCCUUCCAUCAUCAGUCCUGAAAGAUCCCUUCCUGGGUGCCUCAGGGAAAUGGGCGUGCUUGUGCACAUCUCCACUGAACACAUGAAUGUUGGAAACUCAGGUACUGGCAUGGGGGUGUGUGGGCAGCUGCAGGAGCCAGAGGAGGGUCCUUCCCCAGCCCCCAGCUCUAGCCACCGUGUCCCUGGGAGAGGGCAUUGCCAGCUAUGGGGAGCCACCAGAGCUCCCCCGCUACCCCGUGCCCAGCCCUGCAUUUUAGUAGACAGUUUUCUCCCACUAUAUUUAUUGAGUAGCUAUUACAGGCUUGGUAUUGUUUAGGUGCUGGGGACACAAACACAUACAGAUAAAACUGCUGUCUGCAGGAGCCACAUUCUCCUGCCAGGUAGGGUCCUGAGGCUGAUCAGCCUUACCGAGGUUCGGACCAGGCCUGCAGGAUCUGCCCUUUUCAAUCUUGAGCUCUUCUCCUUGUCCCUCAUACCCUGUGAACGCCACCCAGCCUAUUGCACAUUUCGGGUCCCACACGCCUCCUGGGGCCCGGCCCACCUCCACCCUCCCCACCUCUCCCUCCUUCUCAUUCCUCGAGGCCCACAACACUGUGGUAGCAGGAGGCCUCACCAGCUUGUGGCUCAGCCUGAAGAUGAUAAAGCCCAUGGGGCCCACCCAACAUCUGGAGCCAGGAGGAGCAUGACAUUCCUUCUGCCCUCACCGCUGAACCUGAGGGGAGAGCAGCGCCCACCUGCAGGGGUGACCUGCCUGGUGCCGUCCCCCUACCCUCCACAACCUCGCCUCUCCCCAAAGGGCCAACAGGCUCUACGUGCCCUAGGUGCCCCCUCACAUCCUGACAUCCCUGAGCCUCAGUUUCCUUGCCUGUCAAAUGGGGAGAAUCUGCCCCCUGCAGGUGGUAGAAUUACAUGGUGGAUCCGCAUUACCAGCACUAGUCCGUUCAGCGUGACAUGUACGCUCUGUGUGAAGUGACGUGGCACGUGGGCGAGAGGCGGGCAUCCUGGAGCCCCCUCUACCACCCCUUAUGGACUGGGUGUUACCUGUGAGUCCCUUCAGCACUGUCCUCACCUCGACGGCAGUUGUGAUAUCAAACGGGUGGAUUUAUGUGGCUUUACUGACGUGGAGCAGGCGGAUGGGCCAGCUGCCGGCUGUGCGGCCUGGGGCGGGUGGGGGGACAGGAGUGCAGGGGCAGCCCUGAGGCUGAAUCCCUAGGACCAGGAGGUGGGAGAAUUCCCCGAGGGAGGGAGAGAGGGGUGCGGUGUGAGCACAGACGCAUCAGGAAUUCAGUGGAUAGUGUCCCAGACAGGAAAGUCGGACAGAGCCACAGAAGCAUGCGUGUUACACUGCAUGAAGCAAGGACCAAAGAGCAGACGGUGGGGGCCCAGGGGUCGGGCAAACGGACCCGAGAGCAGGACAAAGGACAGCUUUUUCAGGCUGAGCAUUCAGAAAUCUGUGGCCUUAAAUUUACAUACAUUACUUCGUUAAAAAGAAAAAGUUAGAACAAUACUAGAUUUCCUUAAUUCAAUAAUCAUAGUAACAGACUCUGAGAGGCAGGGAUAUCGGAAUGGAUUAUGUCAGGUUCAUCUGUGGGUCAUUUUUAAAUGCUGGAGCAGCCACCAGUGAGUAGUACGCAGCAGUUAAAGAGAAUGAGGUACAUCUAAUGUACCAAGGUGGAAAGGUGGGGCACGCUUGUACUGAAAACAUAUUUGUUGUUUAUUCGAAAUUCUGAUGUAACUGGGUGUCCUGCAUCUGCGUUGCUAACUCUGGUGGCAGCCCUGUGCUUUGAAGAUCUGGGCCCUUUUGAGGGCUUGAUGAGAAAUGCGGGCCUUCUUCUGGAAGAGAGACCAGGCCCCACUCUGCAAACAAUCCCAGGGACGGAUCCCUCCGAAAGUCCACCCAUGGGUUUAGAUCAGGACCCAGCCAACUUUUUCUGCAAGGUGCCAGAUGGCAAAUAUCUUCAGCAAAAGCGGCUAUAUACAGUACAUAUACAAACGGGCAUGGGUGUGUGCCAAUAAAACAU
Molecule: non-coding RNA, 4461 nt
Organism: Manis javanica (Malayan pangolin)
Lineage: Eukaryota; Metazoa; Chordata; Mammalia; Pholidota; Manidae
Source: RefSeq, a predicted model, not a curated record